Molecule: ribosomal RNA, 467 nt
Filed under: uncultured bacterium
Lineage: Bacteria
Description: partial 16S ribosomal RNA
Rfam family: Bacterial small subunit ribosomal RNA
Source: RNAcentral
GACGAACGCUGGCGGCGUGCUUAACACAUGCAAGUCGAACGGAAAGGCCCUGCUUUUGUGGGGUGCUCGAGUGGCGAACGGGUGAGUAACACGUGAGUAACCUGCCCUUGACUUUGGGAUAACUUCAGGAAACUGGGGCUAAUACCGGAUAGGAGCUCCUGCUGCAUGGUGGGGGUUGGAAAGUUUCGGCGGUUGGGGAUGGACUCGCGGCUUAUCAGCUUGUUGGUGGGGUAGUGGCUUACCAAGGCUUUGACGGGUAGCCGGCCUGAGAGGGUGACCGGCCACAUUGGGACUGAGAUACGGCCCAGACUCCUACGGGAGGCAGCAGUAGGGAAUAUUGCACAAUGGCGGAAGCCUGAUGCAGCAACGCCGCGUGCGGGAUGACGGCCUUCGGGUUGUAAACCGCUUUCGCCUGUGACGAAGCGUGAGUGACGGUAAUGGGUAAAGAAGCACCGGCUAACUACGUG